GAUGAACGCUAGCUACAGGCCUAACACAUGCAAGUCGAGGGGAAACGGCAGCUUAGCUCGCUAAGCUGGACGUCGACCGGCGCACGGGUGAGUAACGCGUAUCCAACCUGCCCCACGGUGAGGGAUAACCCGCGGAAACGCGGCCUAAUACCUCAUGGCCUCCGAGCUUGACAUCAAUCUUGGAGUAAAGAUUCAUUGCCGUGGGAUGGGGAUGCGUCUGAUUAGCUUGUUGGCGGGGCAACGGCCCACCAAGGCUACGAUCAGUAGGGGUUCUGAGAGGAAAGCCCCCCACAUUGGAACUGAGACACGGUCCAAACUCCUACGGGAGGCAGCAGUGAGGAAUAUUGGUCAAUGGGCGAGAGCCUGAACCAGCCAAGUAGCGUGCAGGAUGACGGCCCUAUGGGUUGUAAACUGCUUUUAUGCGGGGAUAAAGCGGGCGACGUGUCGCCCCUUGCAGGUACCGCAUGAAUAAGGACCGGCUAAUUCCGUGCCAGCAGCCGACGG
This 504-nucleotide ribosomal RNA is filed under the name uncultured bacterium. Its description in RNAcentral is "bacterial SSU rRNA". It matches the Rfam family "Bacterial small subunit ribosomal RNA", at positions 28 to 520 of the family's 1533-position model. The record is from RNAcentral.